ACAGGUUCUAAUCUUGACCCUGCGGCCUUAACGUGGGUCAAAAAUGACGAUUAUGUCCUGCACUUUCCUCACAGGAUCACUGUGAAGGUCAUGGAAAGAUGAUGGAAUUCAAAGCAGCACUGAGAAGCUGUUCAAAGCAUUUUCAGAGAACGUGUUCUCCAUAUCAGUCUGAGGAUAUCAUCUCUGUUAAACAACUCUAGAAGAUUAAACGAGGCCGAAUCUCUCAAUUAAUGGACAUCCUCCGUUGAGACUUCCAGUUUUCGCUGUGGAACAAAGAGAGUUCCUAUGGAGGUGUUAUUAGCACCGUCGAAAUCCACGCAGGAGGAGCCUUUCGGCUUCGUUGGUCCACCUGGGGUACGGAAGAAGCUUUCAGCCACUAAUUGGGACCCUUUGGGUGUCACAGGAACAGGCUGAUUGGAAAGAGAAGAAUGGAGAAAAGUCAAACCCAUGCAGACAGGUACACCUGGCAACCUUAGAAAACUGGACUGGAGGGACAUGUCACAUGAUGGGAACCUCGCAUGCCCUGAAAUCUGCCAGCUGAGCCUGCAUGAGUUUCAUGUUCUCAAUUAUUUUUGCUAAGGACUGAUACGUCGUACUUGGUGGCCCUUCCUUGCUGAGUGCCUGCAUUUUCUGGUGUGACACUAACAGUCUCUAUUCUUGGAGACACAGGAACGGUUCCAGGCCCGGGGCUGGCGGACACCUGCAUACCAGGGGAGAUGAGGCCCAAGUGCUGCAGAGUGAAGUUUACAACGGCUGAGCUCGGGUUCUGGACGGGAACGGGGUGGCUCGAAGUGAGAGCCGAGCUGUUCCCGACAGGGACGGCUGCCACGGAAGUUGGUGAGACCAUUAGCUUCAAAGGUGUUACAUGAAAAGAGGGAAAAUUAACAGCAGUGAGUUCAGAUGAUGUCACUGGAAUAACACCUGGAAAGAAAAGGGGGGAGAAUAUCUUAAAAGCACAGGCAUUUGUCCGAGAAGCAUACAAGGCUUGAGUGAACUUGAGAAUGACCCACAUUUGAACAGUGUUUUACGUACACUCACCUGCAAUCGGGGAGCUGUAGAUCCUGUGGUUUGGGGAAAGUGUACCUGAGCUUUCUUUACUAGACAAAAUGGACUCUGCCCCCAGGCUUGAGCAUUGGGUGAGAGGGAUUAGGUAUCCUGAUGGGAACAAGGUCUAGAAAACAAGGAGGAAGCAUUUAUUUUACACACAAAUAUGGAAGAAAAAUGGCCAAGCGCCUCUUCUGGGACUAGUAUCCCUUGGUGGUUCUCUCAUCAGACUAAAGCCUCCAAUGGUAUGGGCCACGGGCAGGCCAGCUAUAAUGGCUCUUUGAAGACAACAGCCCUCCUUCCCAUUCCAGUGCUUGUCCUGAAUAAUACAAACCAUGUGUUUCUUAAAUGCCAUCUGUGGUCUUCGGAAGUGUCCUAAAGCUAGCACUGAACCUGCUUAAGGACAGGAUUUACCCAGCACAUCCCCCCUGACCCCCACCACUGACGCCCUAAGUCCUGCUACCAGACUUCUUGGUAUGAUGUGGUACCGUCAGAACAAGUUUAAUGCAGCUGGACACCGUAAAGGCACUGCUGUGUUAUUAUCUGAUUGUCCUUGAAUUGUGUGGGAUGGUAUUUCCCAAGAAUAUUCUGAGGGGCUCUAGUCCUAUGGGAUGCAAGCAGGCACUCUGCGAAUCAUAGUCAAAUACGUUUGGGAAAUUCUGAAUUAAACAAAGGAAAAUGGUCUUUAUGACAGAAUUUCUAAGGGACUUUUAUGAUGGCAUGCAUUGUUCUCCAAGGGGGCAUCAUGUAACAUUUCCUAGGUUAUUCAGCAACUAAAU
Long non-coding RNA from Lagenorhynchus albirostris (white-beaked dolphin), 1823 nucleotides. RefSeq lists it as uncharacterized. The transcript is spliced from 3 exons. The record is from RefSeq and is a predicted model, not a curated record. Lineage: Eukaryota; Metazoa; Chordata; Mammalia; Artiodactyla; Delphinidae.